UUAAAUUGAAGAGUUUGAUCAUGGCUCAGAUUGAACGCUGGCGGCAGGCCUAACACAUGCAAGUCGAACGGUAACAGGAAGCGCUUGCUGCUUCGCUGACGAGUGGCGGACGGGUGAGUAAU
Molecule: ribosomal RNA, 122 nt
Filed under: Shigella flexneri
Lineage: Bacteria; Pseudomonadati; Pseudomonadota; Gammaproteobacteria; Enterobacterales; Enterobacteriaceae
Description: partial 16S ribosomal RNA
Rfam family: Bacterial small subunit ribosomal RNA
Source: RNAcentral